Molecule: transfer RNA, 73 nt
Filed under: Stegodyphus mimosarum
Lineage: Eukaryota; Metazoa; Arthropoda; Arachnida; Araneae; Eresidae
Rfam family: tRNA
About the family: Transfer RNA (tRNA) molecules are approximately 80 nucleotides in length. Their secondary structure includes four short double-helical elements and three loops (D, anti-codon, and T loops).
Source: Rfam by way of RNAcentral
GCCUUCGUGGUGUAGUGGUCAGUACGCUCGACCCUUAUUCGAGAGGUCUGUGGUUCGAGUCCCGGCAAAGGCG